GGUGGGGUAACCAAGAUGGUCAAAGGGUGCAGACUGUAAAUCUGCCGCGCUCCGCGCUUCGGGGGUUCGACUCCCUCCCCCACCACCA
This 88-nucleotide transfer RNA is filed under the name Puniceicoccales bacterium. RNAcentral's name for it is "tRNA-Tyr". It matches the Rfam family "tRNA". Rfam says of the family: Transfer RNA (tRNA) molecules are approximately 80 nucleotides in length. Their secondary structure includes four short double-helical elements and three loops (D, anti-codon, and T loops). Further hydrogen bonds mediate the characteristic L-shaped molecular structure. tRNAs have two regions of fundamental functional importance: the anti-codon, which is responsible for specific mRNA codon recognition, and the 3' end, to which the tRNAs corresponding amino acid is attached (by aminoacyl-tRNA synthetases). tRNAs cope with the degeneracy of the genetic code in two manners: having more than one tRNA (with a specific anti-codon) for a particular amino acid; and 'wobble' base-pairing, i.e. permitting non-standard base-pairing at the 3rd anti-codon position. Lineage: Bacteria; Pseudomonadati; Verrucomicrobiota; Opitutia; Puniceicoccales. The record is from RNAcentral.